GACGAACGCUGGCGGCGUGCCUAAUACAUGCAAGUAGAACGCUGAAGCGAGGAGCUUACUCUUCUUGGAUGAGUUGCGAACGGGUGAGUAACGCGUAGGUAACCUGCCUUGUAUCGGGGGAUAACUAUUGGAAACGAUAGCUAAUACCGCAUAACAAUGGAUGACACAUGUCAUUUAUUUGAAAGGGGCAAUUGCUCCACUACAAGAUGGACCUGCGUUGUAUUAGCUAGUAGGUGAGGUAAUGGCUCACCUAGGCGACGAUACAUAGCCGACCUGAGAGGGUGAUCGGCCACACUGGGAAUGAGACACGGCCCAGAAUCCUAAGGGAGGCAGCAGUAGGGAAUCUUCGGAAAUGGGGGCAACCCUGACCGAGCAAAGCCGCGGGAGUGAAGAAGGGUUUCGGAUCGUAAAGCUCUGUUGUAAGUCAAGAACGGGUGUGAGAGUGGAAAGUUCACACUGUGACGGUAGCUUACCAGAAAGGGACGGCUAACUACGUG
Molecule: ribosomal RNA, 497 nt
Filed under: uncultured bacterium
Lineage: Bacteria
Description: partial 16S ribosomal RNA
Rfam family: Bacterial small subunit ribosomal RNA
Source: RNAcentral